This 450-nucleotide ribosomal RNA is filed under the name Triticum aestivum (bread wheat). RNAcentral's name for it is "partial small subunit ribosomal RNA". The record is from RNAcentral. Lineage: Eukaryota; Viridiplantae; Streptophyta; Magnoliopsida; Poales; Poaceae.
AUGAUGCCUUGUGAUUUCUUUGCUACUACCUUGCAUUACAUGAUACCAUCACUUAAGAUUGAUUUGAAAACUCAUUUGCUUGGAUAUGAUGAUAUAUACCCUGUUAGUGGCAUUACUCUCAUUUGUGAUGAUCAUAGUUACUUUCCUCGUGCUAAUCCUAUGCUUAAUGAAACAUAUCACUCCCAUGCUAGUAUUGAGCUUAAUGAUAAAUAUCAUCCUCAUGUUAGUGUUGACCUUGCUGAUUUCUACCAUCCUAAACAUGUGCUUUAUAGCUAUGCUUAUGUAAUUGGAUACUCUAUCGAUGACUUAGAGGGCAUUCUCUCUGUCACUUGUAUUGGCUUGGUUGUUGAGUGUUCUUUCAGGUUGAUGCUUGUGUACCAUUUACUGCGAGUUGACCGAGUUCGAGAUGACAUUCCCUGGGAUCCUGGUGGACUCAGAGCAUGGGGAUGA